Molecule: ribosomal RNA, 329 nt
Filed under: uncultured eukaryote
Lineage: Eukaryota
Description: partial 18S ribosomal RNA
Rfam family: Eukaryotic small subunit ribosomal RNA
Source: RNAcentral
CCCUUAGAUGUUCUGGGCCGCACGCGCGCUACACUGAUGCAUUCAACGAGUCUAAAACCUGCUCUGAUAGGGGUGGGUAAUCUUUUGAAUGUGCAUCGUGAUUGGGAUAGAUGAUUGCAAUUUUUCAUCUUCAACGAGGAAUGCCUAGUAAACGCAAGUCAUCAGCUUGCAUUGAUUACGUCCCUGCCCUUUGUACACACCGCCCGUCGCUCCGACCGAUUGAAUGAUCCGAUGAAUAUCAUGGAUUGAGGAUGCAAGUAGGUUAGCCUAUCUUCAUCUUCGAGAAGUGAAGUAAAUCUUAUCAUUUAGAGGAAGGAGAAGUCGUAACA